This 438-nucleotide ribosomal RNA is filed under the name uncultured bacterium. RNAcentral describes it as "partial 16S ribosomal RNA". It matches the Rfam family "Bacterial small subunit ribosomal RNA", at positions 339 to 795 of the family's 1533-position model. The record is from RNAcentral.
CUACGGGUCGCUCCAGUGAGGAAUAUUGCACAAUUGGGGGAACCCUGAUGCAGCAACGCCGCGUGGAGGAUGACGCAUUUCGGUGUGUAAACUCCUUUAUAUGUCAAGAAAAUGACGGUAGCAUAUGAAUAAGCACCGGCUAACUCCGUGCCAGCAGCCGCGGUAAUACGGAGGGUGCAAGCGUUACUCGGAAUCACUGGGCGUAAAGGACGCGUAGGCGGGUUGGAAAGUCAGGUGUGAAAUCCUACAGCUUAACUGUAGAACUGCACUUGAAACUUCUAAUCUAGAGUAUGGGAGGGGGAGAUGGAAUUAGUGGUGUAGGGGUAAUAUCCGUAGAUAUCGCUAGGAAUACCUAAAGCGAAGGCGAUCUCCUGGAACAUUACUGACGCUAAGGCGUGAAAGCAUGGGGAGCAAACAGGAUUAGAUACCCGCGUAGUC